This is a long non-coding RNA of Homo sapiens (human), 1170 nucleotides long. Ensembl annotates it as Prader-Willi region non-protein coding RNA 1. Its record names the gene PWRN1. NCBI's taxonomy places the organism in Eukaryota, Metazoa, Chordata, Mammalia, Primates, Hominidae. The record is from Ensembl.
GCGCGCUUGUUCCUGAGGCGGUGCCUGCCUGUGUCGUCGUCCCUGUUUGUUCUUCUUCAAACGUCAGGAUUUCUCCGUGUUUCCCAGACCGUAACGUUCCAAAGGUGGAAACACAGAUGACAGAUUUUUGGUCUUUUCGUCAUUUCCUAUAUAUGUGUUCAAUAUAUGAUGCCAGAAUAAUUUCACUGCCUAGAGCAAAUCUGCUGUACCUCACCAGUUUGACCUGCCUCUUUUCCAAGCUCCCAGUUUGGAAUAGUUCACCAGUGAAGUCAUCUCAACCAGCACAGGGCCUUGACUCCUAACAACAAUCACACGAACUUGGAAGAGGAGCCUUCCCCACCUGAACCUUCACUUGAGACCUCGUCCUUGGCCAUCCUCUACAUCUGGAUUCAUGAUACAGAGAAACUUGAGUAAUGAUGACAAUAGCAGUCCAGUGUGCAUGGAUGCUGACGUGGAUGCUGUCUCCCAUUCUUACCACUGGAUGGGAAGAAAUGAUAGAUGCAAUCCAGCCAUUGUGUUCUCGACUCUCAGUUCCAUCUUCUCAACUGACAUUGUCUUCCAAAGUCCGUGCCACACCACAGCCUGGAACAUCUCCCAAAGUGGUAUCUUGAUGCAAUGGUAGAGCUCAUGUCACAGUAUUGUAUGUCUCAGGUUUGAAUAACUCACCAGUGAAGUCAUCUUGACCUGGACAGAAAUUGAAUCCUCCCGAGAAUCCCAGGAGCUGGGUAGGUGAUCCUUCCCCAGAUGAGCCUUCCCUUGAAAUCUCUGCCAGGCAUCUGACCCAGAGAAACUGUAAGUACUAUGUAGGGCUGGGUUGGAAAGUCUAAACUAUGUAGUAAUAUGUUAUACAACAAUCGGUCAGUUAUAUGCCUGACAGUAAAUGUAAUGUGGUAUCUUGGAUUAGAUCCUAGAACAGAAAAAUGACACUAGUGGAAAAGCUGGUAAAAUAUGAAGAAAAUCUUUUCCAGUUAAUAGUUUUGUACCACUGUCAAUUUCUGAGUUUUCAUAAAUAUGCUAUGGUGAUAUAAGGUGUUAACAUUUCAGAAAGCUGUAGGAUAUAUGAAACUCUAUUAUCUUUACUACUUUCUGUAAAACUAAAACUAUGAUAAAAUAAAAAUAUUUCUUAAAAUGUAAUAUUCAGGUACCAGAAAAUAAAACAACAAUAACAAA